RNAcentral lists this long non-coding RNA (208 nucleotides) under Bos taurus (domestic cattle). RNAcentral describes it as "long non-coding RNA NONBTAT009623". The record is from RNAcentral. Lineage: Eukaryota; Metazoa; Chordata; Mammalia; Artiodactyla; Bovidae.
ACAUUCUCUCCAGGGUCAGAAUAGUGAAUGAACCUAAACUAAAUAAAAACCAAUCUUAAAUGUACCCUCCAUCUAGAAAAAGCUACAUUUCUAGAGAAGUCUGAAUUUCAAUAAGUUUUCAAACUUUCUAGCUGAGUCUUUACUUUUCAUACUUUAAAUACCUGUGGAUAAAUAUUGCAAAGUUUCAUGAAAAUACAACUCUGGUGAA